AUACGUAGGUGACAAGCGUUAUCCGGAUUUACUGGGCGUAAAGGGCGUGUAGGCGGUCUUGCAAGUCAGAAGUGAAAUCCCUGAGCUCAACUCGGGCGCUGCUUCUGAAACUGCAGGACUUGAGUGCUGGAGGGGAUAGCGGAAUUCCUAGUGGAGCGGUAAAAUGCGCAGAUAUUAGGAAGAACACCGGUGGCGAUGGCGGCUAUCUGGACAGUAACUGACGCUGAGGCGCGAAAGCGUGGGGAGCAAACAGGAUUAGAUACCCUGGUAGUCCGUGCCGUAAACGAUGAAUACUAGGUGUAGGGGGUAUCGACUCCCUCUGUGCCGCAGUUAACACAUUAAGUAUUCCACCUGGGGAGUACGGCCGCAAGGUUGAAACUCAAAUGAAUUGACGGGG
Molecule: ribosomal RNA, 397 nt
Filed under: uncultured bacterium
Lineage: Bacteria
Description: partial 16S ribosomal RNA
Rfam family: Bacterial small subunit ribosomal RNA
Source: RNAcentral